AGAUGAUGAUCCCAAGCCUUCUGGCGAUCUAGACGAUGGCUGUACGCCGUGUGGUGAUAUAGACAAAAUAAGUCCACCGUGGGCUGCGAAAAACGCUUUCCUUGAUAAAAUGUAAGUCGUUGUAUAUGAGGAUGCCGGGGAAGGUUAUCCGGUUUGUGCCGGAGGGCUAGUAGCUCAGUGUGUUAGAGCGCGCUCUUGAUAGGCGCGACGUGCGGAGGUCCAAGUCCUCCCAGGCCCACCAGUUUAUACAUUACUUUCAUAAGAGCUUUUAAAAAAUAAGUACUUCUAAAAAGAUUGCUUCUAAAAAGCUUAUCAAAAUUGGCAGGCUUAUUGCUUUUGUGUGAGUAAUCCAAAGUUAAAGCAAAUUAAUGGCAAAAAAACAGUUCAAAUGCUAAAUACUAAGGAGUCAAAAUUCCUUGCAAAGUGAUUUUUACAGCGUCCAUUUGGUUGAUAUAAAUUCCAAAUGCUCAUAGACGUCAAUGCCUAUAUGAAACUAUCGGUUCAAUCAUAUCGCUUUGAGUUAUAUAGAUUUUGUAAUCCCUCUUUUGAUCGUUUUAAACGCUUUAUUCUGAUUUAGGGGCCGUAGCUCAGCUGGGAGAGCACCUGCUUUGCAAGCAGGGGGUCGUCGUCGAUGCGUCAG
RNAcentral lists this unclassified non-coding RNA (640 nucleotides) under Bartonella henselae. Its description in RNAcentral is "partial 16S-23S ribosomal RNA intergenic spacer". The stretch from base 164 to 238 matches the Rfam family "tRNA". Lineage: Bacteria; Pseudomonadati; Pseudomonadota; Alphaproteobacteria; Hyphomicrobiales; Bartonellaceae. The record is from RNAcentral.